UACGAAGGGUGCAAGCGUUACUCGGAAUUACUGGGCGUAAAGGGUGCGUAGGUGGUUGUUUAAGUCUGCUGUGAAAUCCCCGGGCUUAACCUGGGAACUGCGUUGGAAACUACGAGGCUAGAGUGCGGCAGAGGGGGGUGGAAUUCCAGGUGUAGCAGUGAAAUGCGUAGAGAUCUGGAGGAACACCGAUGGCGAAGGCAGCCCCCUGGGCCAGCACUGACGCUGAUACACGAAAGCGUGGGGAGCAAACAGG
Molecule: ribosomal RNA, 253 nt
Filed under: uncultured prokaryote
Description: partial 16S ribosomal RNA
Rfam family: Bacterial small subunit ribosomal RNA
Source: RNAcentral